GGAGUCGGCCGGACGAUCGCGGCGCCGCAAGGCGCGGAGGAAAGUCCGGGCUCCGCAGGGCAGGGUGCCAGGUAACGCCUGGGCGGCGCGAGCCGACGGAAAGUGCCACAGAAAACAUACCGCCUAAGCGCCUUCGGGCGCCGGCAAGGGUGAAAAGGUGCGGUAAGAGCGCACCGCGCGGCUGGCAACAGUCCGCGGCACGGUAAACCCCACCCGGAGCAAGACCAAAUAGGGGAGCGCGCGGCCUUCGGGCCGCUAAUGUGUGGCCCGCACAGUUCCCGGGUAGGUUGCUUGAGGUGUGCGGCGACGCACAUCCCAGAUGAAUGGUCGUCCACGACAGAACCCGGCUUACAGGCCGGCUCCCACC
Molecule: RNase P RNA, 367 nt
Filed under: Gammaproteobacteria bacterium HGW-Gammaproteobacteria-1
Lineage: Bacteria; Pseudomonadati; Pseudomonadota; Gammaproteobacteria
Description: RNase P RNA component class A
Rfam family: Bacterial RNase P class A
About the family: Ribonuclease P (RNase P) is a ubiquitous endoribonuclease, found in archaea, bacteria and eukarya as well as chloroplasts and mitochondria. Its best characterised activity is the generation of mature 5'-ends of tRNAs by cleaving the 5'-leader elements of precursor-tRNAs.
Source: RNAcentral